CAUCAAUUAAUUCUCUGAUAUGGAAAGACGAUAUCGUCAUUCUGAUGAUUGGAUAGAUUGGAAUAUGCUUUGCAAUGACCACAUGUCAAAUCUAGUUGUCCAUUGCAACCACAUGACCAACAAUGUAUAGUUCUCUUCCUUUUGGUUCACAUUGAUCCAAAUUUUUUUUGGGGAAAAUGGACUUCUGAAACAAUAUUCAAAGCAUUUCUCUGAUAAUAUAUGGUAAAGUUUGGAGGGAUUUUUAGAAUUAACAUUGAGUAGAGGUACUGAAGGAUGAUGGGAACACAUCUAUGAAGUUUUGAGUGCUAACCAAAUUGUCACAUGGCAGCAGUUAUAACCAACAGCUAUUGUUUAUGAUUUAUUGAAAAUCUGCUCC
Telopea speciosissima is the source of this 376-nucleotide long non-coding RNA. RefSeq lists it as uncharacterized. The record is from RefSeq and is a predicted model, not a curated record. NCBI's taxonomy places the organism in Eukaryota, Viridiplantae, Streptophyta, Magnoliopsida, Proteales, Proteaceae. The transcript has 3 exons.